GGGGGACGAACCGUGGGAAACUACGGCUAAUACCGCAUGAUGCCUGAGGGCCAAAGACGAAAGUCGUUUGAGGAGGAGCCUGCGUCUGAUUAGGUAGUUGGUGGGGUAAAGGCCUACCAAGCCUGCGAUCAGUAGCUGGUCUGAGAGGAUGAUCAGCCACAUUGGGACUGAGACACGGCCCAAACUCCUACGGGAGGCAGCAGUGGGGAAUAUUGGACAAUGGGCGAAAGCCUGAUCCAGCAAUGCCGCGUGUGUGAAGAAGGUCUUCGGAUUGUAAAGCACUUUUGGCAGGGACGAUGAUGACGGUACCUGCAGAAUAAGCCCCGGCUAACUUCGUG
RNAcentral lists this ribosomal RNA (338 nucleotides) under uncultured bacterium. RNAcentral's name for it is "bacterial SSU rRNA". It matches the Rfam family "Bacterial small subunit ribosomal RNA", at positions 137 to 507 of the family's 1533-position model. The record is from RNAcentral.